This 243-nucleotide long non-coding RNA is filed under the name Solanum tuberosum (potato). Its description in RNAcentral is "long non-coding RNA (STUB_LNC002231)". The record is from RNAcentral. Lineage: Eukaryota; Viridiplantae; Streptophyta; Magnoliopsida; Solanales; Solanaceae.
CGGAGUAACAAAUGUAGAAUUUAGCCAUCGCAUUUUCUGAAUCAAAAGUGCAUCCAACUUGACGAAGUAACAAAUGUAGAAUUUAGCUACUGAAUCAAAACUGCAUCCAACUAGGCGGAGUAACAAAUGUAGAAUUUAGCUACUGAAUCAAGUGCAUCCACCUUGGCGGAGUAACAAAUGUAGAAUUUAGAUAUCACAUUUUCUGAAUCAAAAGUGCAAUCACUUUAACUUACCUAAGACCCA